This 894-nucleotide ribosomal RNA is filed under the name gut metagenome. RNAcentral describes it as "bacterial SSU rRNA". It matches the Rfam family "Bacterial small subunit ribosomal RNA", at positions 8 to 879 of the family's 1533-position model. The record is from RNAcentral.
AGAGUUUGAUCCUGGCUCAGGACGAACGCUGGCGGCGUGCUUAACACAUGCAAGUCGAACGGAGAACUUAUUUCGGUAAGUUCUUAGUGGCGAACGGGUGAGUAACGCGUGGGCAACCUGCCCUCCAGUUGGGGACAACAUUCCGAAAGGGAUGCUAAUACCGAAUGUGCUCCCUCCUCCGCAUGGAGGAGGGAGGAAAGAUGGCCUCUGCUUGCAAGCUAUCGCUGGAAGAUGGGCCCGCGUCUGAUUAGCUAGUUGGUGGGGUAACGGCUCACCAAGACGAUGAUCAGUAGCCGGUCUGAGAGGAUGAACGGCCACAUUGGGACUGAGACACGGCCCAAACUCCUACGGGAGGCAGCAGUGGGGAAUCUUCCGCAAUGGACGAAAGUCUGACGGAGCAACGCCGCGUGAGUGAUGAAGGUCUUCGGAUUGUAAAACUCUGUUGUUAGGGACGAAAGCACCGUGUUCGAACAGGUCAUGGUGUUGACGGUACCUAACGAGGAAGCCACGGCUAACUACGUGCCAGCAGCCGCGGUAAUACGUAGGUGGCAAGCGUUGUCCGGAAUUAUUGGGCGUAAAGAGCAUGUAGGCGGGCUUUUAAGUCUGACGUGAAAAUGCGGGGCUUAACCCCGUAUGGCGUUGGAUACUGGAAGUCUUGAGUGCAGGAGAGGAAAGGGGAAUUCCCAGUGUAGCGGUGAAAUGCGUAGAUAUUGGGAGGAACACCAGUGGCGAAGGCGCCUUUCUGGACUGUGUCUGACGCUGAGAUGCGAAAGCCAGGGUAGCAAACGGGAUUAGAUACCCCGGUAGUCCUGGCCGUAAACGAUGGAUACUAGGUGUAGGAGGUAUCGACCCCUUCUGUGCCGGAGUUAACGCAAUAAGUAUCCCGCCUGGGGA